This 286-nucleotide ribosomal RNA is filed under the name uncultured bacterium. RNAcentral describes it as "partial 16S ribosomal RNA". It matches the Rfam family "Bacterial small subunit ribosomal RNA", at positions 775 to 1067 of the family's 1533-position model. The record is from RNAcentral.
GGAUUAGAUACCCUGGUAGUCCACGCAGUAAACGAUGAUUACUCGUUUUCGGUACGUAGUAUCGGAGACCAAGCGAAAGUGAUAAGUAAUCCACCUGGGGAGUACGUUCGCAAGAAUGAAACUCAAAGGAAUUGACGGGGGCCCGCACAAGCGGUGGAGCAUGUGGUUUAAUUCGAUGAUACGCGAGGAACCUUACCAAGGCUUAAAUGCAUAAUGACAGGGAUGGAAACAUCCUUUUCUUCGGACAGAAUGCAAGGUGCUGCAUGGCUGUCGUCAGCUCGUGCCG